This 392-nucleotide ribosomal RNA is filed under the name uncultured Alphaproteobacteria bacterium. RNAcentral describes it as "bacterial SSU rRNA". It matches the Rfam family "Bacterial small subunit ribosomal RNA", at positions 9 to 419 of the family's 1533-position model. The record is from RNAcentral. Lineage: Bacteria; Pseudomonadati; Pseudomonadota; Alphaproteobacteria.
GAGUUUGAUCGUGGCUCAGAACGAACGCUGGCGGCAUGCCUAACACAUGCAAGUCGAACGGGAUCCGGACUUCGGUUCGGUGAGAGUGGCGGACGGGUGAGUAACGCGUGGGAACCUGCCCAGUGGUGGGGGAUAACUGCGGGAAACUGCAGCUAAUACCGCAUGAGCCCGAGAGGGGAAAGAUUUAUCGCCAUUGGAGGGGCCCGCGUUCGAUUAGGUAGUUGGUGGGGUAAAGGCCUACCAAGCCGACGAUCGAUAGCUGGUCUGAGAGGAUGAUCAGCCACACUGGGACUGAGAUACGGCCCAGACUCCUACGGGAGGCAGCAGUGGGGAAUAUUGGACAAUGGGGGCAACCCUGAUCCAGCAAUGCCGCGUGAGUGAUGAAGGCCUUC